CGUCUCUAUGUUCUCAGGGCUGUGGAACAUCCAUGUAGCGAAAGUAAAGAGAGUGGUGGAGAGAGAAAGACAGGGAGAUGGCGUUUUAUGAGGGUCCAAGGCCGCUGAUGGCCUAAAAGGCUAGCCACACUAGAGGACGUCAAAGAGGUCCAUUACAGAAAGGUCUCACAGGCGAAUGACUGCAAGGUGAAAAAAGGAGCUGAUAUCCUGUGAGCUACACUGCAAAACAGAGCCUAUUACAGAACUCACAUGACUUGAAGAGUCUAGGCUGCUGCAUCCCUGAAACAGCCUUGUUCAGCAGACAAGAGUGUGUGUGUGAGAGAGAGCGAGAGAGAGAGAGAGAAAGAGAGCGUGCGAGAGAGAGAGUGAACAAGGAUGGAUCCAGACGCCCACUUCGCUGCAAUGGGCCAGGAAACAGCUAUUACGUAACAGGUGGGCAACUUCCCCCACACAGGCAGUGGGACUGCACAGUGGAACCUCUAUCUGUUUUUUUUUUCUUUCUUAUUUUUUAUGUUUGUCCUUCUCUUUUUUCUUUCUUUACUUCUUUCUUUCAUUUUAUUUUCUCUCUAUAUGUGCCAAAAACAGUUUUUUGAAACAAUUAAAUAAAAGCUUCUGGUAAAUUACA
This 625-nucleotide long non-coding RNA is filed under the name Astyanax mexicanus (Mexican tetra). RNAcentral's name for it is "lncRNA (ENSAMXG00005005693.1)". The record is from RNAcentral. Lineage: Eukaryota; Metazoa; Chordata; Actinopteri; Characiformes; Acestrorhamphidae.